Molecule: long non-coding RNA, 1739 nt
Filed under: Hordeum vulgare
Lineage: Eukaryota; Viridiplantae; Streptophyta; Magnoliopsida; Poales; Poaceae
Description: long non-coding RNA (HVUL_LNC018286)
Source: RNAcentral
AUAAAUCCAAUCUCUCACGACGAAAAAAUUAUCCUGUUGCCUCGCGGCGAGGCGCUCCUCUCCUUCCCCAAGCCUUCUCCCAUCCAUGGCAAAUUCUUUUGAUCUAGCGAACAUCGCAUGUUUUUCUCUCCUUCUGUUGUCCCUAAUAUUGCUCUUUCUCUUUCUCCCUAACAACCACCAAGCCAGAUACACCUAGGUAUGCCCUCACGUACGUACGAUUCCAACACUGGCAUGAAGAUAAAGAGGCAGGCAUCGAUGACCCCAAGCUACGUUUCUGAUCGGUUCCUCAACUAGACACUACCAUCUUUAGAGGUAACACUAAUGUCAGCUUUCCAGGAAAAGAGAAAAGGUUGAAUCUGUAUGGCAAGUAAAAUCCGUCGAAUAGUGCAGAUCUCUCAUCUGUCCAAGGUUUGUGGAUUUCUUAAUGUUUGCCACUGUUUUAGUCUUCUACUCUGAUAUUCAUUUGAUUUCAAAUUCCAUGUAAUACAAAUUUUAACUUUUGGAAGAUCUUUUUUCCACAAAUAUCUAGAUUGUUGCCAUAUCUGUGGAACUCUGGAGCGUCCGUUGUGUGGCGUAGCAGGAACAUCUCAUUGACAUAUCUCACCUCAUAACUGUGGAAGCAUUUAUGGAUGUGUGGCAGUAGGAUGCCGGACGCAGGCCCAGAACCAGUCACCAGCGCAUGUUUAAGUCAUGGGUGCGUCUCUCAAGCCCUCCCAAGUACCAUCAGAAUCUGUAUAAAAAAGCAUAACAACAUUGUUAGGCCUGACGAAAUCAAAUGAUCCGGAAAGAUAUACUGGUAAAACUGGAAAGCAUCCGGCAUCUCGCCAAGACAAACUGCCGAGUGGUAAGGAAAGGAAGUUUUGAAGCAAAUUCAUACGGUGCCCAGUAGACUGCUCUCUUAUUUUUCCCUUGGAGUUCUAAUGUACGUGUGCAUUCUCUGUUUUUAGAGUAUUUUGUUAUCAACUUACAAGCUGAACGCGCUUUCAAAUUGGAUCCCCUAUAUGCGACUAUGAAAACUUUGAAAUAUUAUUUUAUUUGCUAAUUUUCUUCGUUUGUUUUAGUUAUUUUUUGCAGCAUUAAUGGAAAGCCACCAAUGUUUUAGUUAUCUGCUAUGUACAUUAACCAAUGGUUUAGAUGGUAAUUCCGAACAAUCUCAGUAUAGAGAAUGGAUCACUAUUUACACUAUUUAGAAUACCAGAUUUUUAAUACAUUACCCUUCAGAUUUUGUAGAUUUAUAUUUAGAAUACCAACAUACAUAGCCCUAUCAGUUUCUUGAGAUACGCACCCAUAGCCUAUAUAGAAUACCAAUGUAAAUUUAUAUUUAGACGCACAAAUAUAUUAAAAUACCAAUGUAAAUUACCAUCAGAAUACCAAUGUAAAUUUAUUUUUAGACGCACCCAUAGCCUAUAUAGAAUACCUACAUUAGAUGCCCAAUGUACAUAGCCCUAAUUUAUAUUUAGAAUACCAAUGUAUGACCGUAAUUUUUAUAUAGGCUAUGUACAUUAACAAACAGUUUGUUAUAUUUUACGAUAUAGGGCGCUCGCCCAUAUCAGUUUCUUUGAUUCUGUUAAUUAUUUCUUUGCUGCUACACCGAUAUAUUACGCUUCAGAUUUUGUAGAUUGCUGCAGGUUGUCGGACAAGUAUUUCACCCAUUCAUCUAAUCACAACUUCGCGAGUUCACAAAAAAUAUCCAGAGGCAAACUGUCGAGUGCUGAGAAAAGGAAGUUUUGAAGCAAAUU